This is a long non-coding RNA of Gracilinanus agilis (Agile Gracile Mouse Opossum), 770 nucleotides long. RefSeq lists it as uncharacterized. Lineage: Eukaryota; Metazoa; Chordata; Mammalia; Didelphimorphia; Didelphidae. The record is from RefSeq and is a predicted model, not a curated record. The transcript is spliced from 3 exons.
GGAAACUCACUUCAAAAGCAGCUGCAUCUAGGGGGAGAUUAAAGCCUUUGCCGCCUUCCAAUCAAAUGGGAGCCCGAGCUUUCUCUCCAGAUCCGGGUACAAGAAAGACCUAUUCCCAGCCGGCAGUCGUGCGCAGGGCGCGGGGCUCAGAAUUUCUCCAUCCGCAGAGCAGAGCAGAGCGCACCCGCUGAGCCUUAGCCUUCGAGGGAGGCGGGACAAGGAAUCCCGGGCAGACUUUUUCGUCCGUCCGUGCUGGUGAAAAGGAAAUCAAGCCUUUUCCUCCCCAGCGGAAAAAAUAAAAACAAAACCCAACAAUAGCAAAGCCCUCUCCGAAUUUUCAGACCCUGGUCCUGCCUCCUCGUCUUCAGUUGGAAAUAACCUCAGCGCCCCAGAAGCUUCAGUUGGUAUAUUUGCCUGGGAGGUGCACCUCUCCGAGUUUCUUGCCUCCUUGGGAGAAGGCGCUGUGCUAGCCUUGGAGAUGGCUUUGUGUGUCUUCUUACUGAAGAGAAACACGAAACGAAAGAAACUUCAUCGAGGACAGCAAAGGAACUUCUCUACCUCGUACUCUGGAGAGAAAUUCCCAAACCCGAUUCCCGGACUUUGUCCCUCCCUUCCUCUUUCUGCUCGAACCCUCCAAGAUGAUGGAUGUCCUUUUCCCAAACCCCAAGACCCAGGUUCUGAAGCCUCUCCGGGGUGGAGAGUCCUGGAGAGGAAAAGCGAGAAAUAUCUGUUUUAAGAAAAUAAAGCCGCCUGCCGUGCCCUUCUCUGCG